This 85-nucleotide transfer RNA is filed under the name Treponema sp. Its description in RNAcentral is "tRNA-Ser". It matches the Rfam family "tRNA". From Rfam's summary of the family: Transfer RNA (tRNA) molecules are approximately 80 nucleotides in length. Their secondary structure includes four short double-helical elements and three loops (D, anti-codon, and T loops). The record is from RNAcentral. Lineage: Bacteria; Pseudomonadati; Spirochaetota; Spirochaetia; Treponematales; Treponemataceae.
GGAGCGAUGGCAGAGCGGCUGAAUGCACCGGUCUUGAAAACCGGCAUACCGCAAGGUAUCGGGGGUUCAAAUCCCUCUCGCUCCG